Molecule: ribosomal RNA, 450 nt
Filed under: uncultured Glomeromycotina
Lineage: Eukaryota; Fungi; Glomeromycota
Description: SSU rRNA
Rfam family: Eukaryotic small subunit ribosomal RNA
Source: RNAcentral
AGCAGCCGCGGUAAUUCCAGCUCCAAUAGCGUAUAUUAAAGUUGUUGCAGUUAAAAAGCUCGUAGUUGAAUUUCGGGAUUUAUCCGUCGGUCGGGCUUUUGGGUCUGUACUGGCGUGAUGGAUUCCUACCUUCUGAAUAACCGGCAUGUCAUUAAUUUGGUGCGCCGGGGAAGCAGGACUGUUACCUUGAAAAAAUUAGAGUGCUUAAAGCAGGCUUAUGCCUGAAUACAUUAGCAUGGAAUAAUGAAAUAGGACGGCAUGGUUCUAUUUUGUUGGUUUCUAGGGUCACCGUAAUGAUUAAUAGGGAUAGUUGGGGGCAUUAGUAUUCAAUUGUCAGAGGUGAAAUUCUUGGAUUUAUUGAAGACUAACUACUGCGAAAGCAUUUGCCAAGGAUGUUUUCAUUAAUCAAGAACGAAAGUUAGGGGAUCGAAGACGAUCAGAUACCGUCGU